RNAcentral lists this long non-coding RNA (939 nucleotides) under Gallus gallus (chicken). RNAcentral describes it as "lncRNA (ENSGALG00010011652.1)". The record is from RNAcentral. Lineage: Eukaryota; Metazoa; Chordata; Aves; Galliformes; Phasianidae.
CUUAGAAGUCUUGAUACCAAGAUUUUUAUUCUGAUCCCAUUGGUUUUUCUUCUCAGGCUGUUAAAACAUCAUCUUUCUUCAAAGUCUUAGAAAUAGAAUUAUCAACAAGGCUGAUUUUUAGAGAGAAUAAAAGCAACAAGGUGCUCUGAAGAGAGAAGCAGUAAAUGGUGUGUAACAGGUUUCCAGGUGGCUGCAUCAAAACCAGGAUUCAAUAGCCUAUACUGCCCUGGAAAGACACCAGACGUGGUGAUGUGAUGUCAAUCCCUCCAGCUCACCUUUCUCCUGGGGGUCUGUGCAGCUCCCUCUGGUCCCUCAGCUGCUGGAGGUUACCUUGGAGUCUACAAACUCUCAACACCACGACUCACUCUAUAAAUGUAAGUGCAGGGGGGGCUUUGCCAUUUUUUAGCCUCUCUUUUGAGCUAUAUUUCUAGGAGGAAGGAAAAUGUAAUGGCACAGGACCAGCCACAGACAACUGAUGAACCCCUGUGGUUUUAAAAUGAGCACUGACAGAAAAGAUGUCUACUGCCUGGUGCAACCAGCUUUUCAGAUGUGAACUGGGGGAACUGGGAAGAUCUGUGGUUCCUUUUUGGAGCUGACUGGGGAGAGGCAGAGGGGAAGAACCAGUGUGACUGCUCCAAUCUAGGACUGUUCUACCUGCUGGCCUUCAAUAGAUGACAGAGAGAGCCUAAAACCAACUUUGAGGUUUAGAUGAAGCUGACUGAACCUGGAGUCCCAGUGAGACAAGCCAAGUUGAAAGCUGGUAUGCAGUGCACUGAGACACAUCACAGUGGGCAGGGAAACGUCCAGAUGUGGGUGUACUGGCAAAGUGGGCAGCACCACGGCAGACCCAACCCAACAUGCCAAAAUUUGCUGACAUAUGCCAGUCAUAGAUUUUAAUUAAAACACAGCUCCAUAGAGAUAUUCACUGUCUAUCAGUAA